RNAcentral lists this ribosomal RNA (327 nucleotides) under uncultured eukaryote. RNAcentral describes it as "partial 18S ribosomal RNA". It matches the Rfam family "Eukaryotic small subunit ribosomal RNA", at positions 1470 to 1796 of the family's 1831-position model. The record is from RNAcentral.
CCCCUAGAUGUUCUGGGCCGCACGCGCGCUACGCUGAACAGUUCAACAAGUCUUAACCUUGGCCGAUAGGUCUGGGUAAUCUUUGAACGCUGUUCGUGAUUGGGAUAGACCUUUGCAAUUAUGGGUCUUCAACGAGGAAUUCCUAGUAAACGCAAGUCAUCAGCUUGCAUUGAUUACGUCCCUGCCCUUUGUACACACCGCCCGUCGCUCCUACCGAUUGAAUGGUCCGGUGAAGCGUUCGGACCGUGGCCUUUGGACGGUUCGCCGUCUGUUGGCUGCGGGAAGUUCGUUAAACCUUAUCAUUUAGAGGAAGGAGAAGUCGUAACA